This 91-nucleotide transfer RNA is filed under the name Parcubacteria group bacterium ADurb.Bin159. RNAcentral describes it as "tRNA-Ser". It matches the Rfam family "tRNA". From Rfam's summary of the family: Transfer RNA (tRNA) molecules are approximately 80 nucleotides in length. Their secondary structure includes four short double-helical elements and three loops (D, anti-codon, and T loops). The record is from RNAcentral.
GGAGGAGUGUGGCGAAUGGUAAGCCAGCGGUUUGCUAAACCGUAGCCGUGUAAAAAGCGGCUUGCGGGUUCGACUCCCGCCUCCUCCGCCA